This 450-nucleotide ribosomal RNA is filed under the name uncultured bacterium. Its description in RNAcentral is "partial 16S ribosomal RNA". It matches the Rfam family "Bacterial small subunit ribosomal RNA", at positions 354 to 796 of the family's 1533-position model. The record is from RNAcentral.
GUGGGGAAUAUUGGACAAUGGGCGAAAGCCUGAUCCAGCCAUGCCGCGUGUGUGAAGAAGGUCUUCGGAUUGUAAAGCACUUUAAGUUGGGAGGAAGGGCAUUAACCUAAUACGUUAGUGUUUUGACGUUACCAACAGAAUAAGCACCGGCUAACUUCGUGCCAGCAGCCGCGGUAAUACGAAGGGUGCAAGCGUUAAUCGGAAUUACUGGGCGUAAAGCGCGCGUAGGUGGUUCAGCAAGUUGGAGGUGAAAUCCCCGGGCUCAACCUGGGAACUGCCUCCAAAACUACUGAGCUAGAGUACGGUAGAGGGUAGUGGAAUUUCCUGUGUAGCGGUGAAAUGCGUAGAUAUAGGAAGGAACACCAGUGGCGAAGGCGACUACCUGGACUGAUACUGACACUGAGGUGCGAAAGCGUGGGGAGCAAACAGGAUUAGAAACCCGGGUAGUCC